RNAcentral lists this ribosomal RNA (462 nucleotides) under uncultured bacterium. RNAcentral's name for it is "bacterial SSU rRNA". It matches the Rfam family "Bacterial small subunit ribosomal RNA", at positions 34 to 504 of the family's 1533-position model. The record is from RNAcentral.
CGCUGGCGGCGUGCUUAACACAUGCAAGUCGAACGAUGAAGCCUAGCUUGCUAGGUGGAUUAGUGGCGAACGGGUGAGUAAUACGUGAGUGACCUACCUUUGACUCUGGGAUAAGCCUGGGAAACUGGGUCUAAUACCGGAUACGACCAAUCUCCGCAUGGGGUGUUGGUGGAAAGCGUUAUGGAGUGGUUUUAGAUGGGCUCACGGCCUAUCAGCUUGUUGGUGAGGUAAUGGCUUACCAAGGCGACGACGGGUAGCCGGCCUGAGAGGGUGACCGGCCACACUGGGACUGAGACACGGCCCAGACUCCUACGGGAGGCAGCAGUGGGGAAUAUUGCACAAUGGGCGCAAGCCUGAUGCAGCGACGCCGCGUGAGGGAUGACGGCCUUCGGGUUGUAAACCUCUGUUAGCAUCGAAGAAGCGAAAGUGACGGUAGGUGCAGAGAAAGCGCCGGCUAACUAC